RNAcentral lists this small RNA (419 nucleotides) under Arabidopsis thaliana (thale cress). Its description in RNAcentral is "ATSL193960". Lineage: Eukaryota; Viridiplantae; Streptophyta; Magnoliopsida; Brassicales; Brassicaceae. The record is from RNAcentral.
CUAAAGAUGAGAGCCAGCUACUUGGAUUAACAAAGGGUGGUGAAGUGAAUAACAUAAUCCAAGUAUGUAUAUGGUAGCCAUGAGUUCACAAACAAUGCAUAGACAUGAUAAUUGCAAAUUCAGUUCAAGUUCUAUUAGAUAGAGAAUGGCAUCAGAUUAGCGAGUUUCGAAUCAAAGCAGUAUAGUCAAGUUGUAAAUUGAAAGCGGGGUGCAGUCUUACUUCAGAGAUACAAUCGGUUAUGCAACAGAGAACUAAUAAGCUGGGCAUUGAACUUACUUCAUUGAAUUUACAUGCUCAACGGUUUGAAAUCAUCAUUAUCCCCUAUGCAAAUGAGCAAUCCUAAAUGCAAGCACUCUAUAUACAAUUCUAAAAUGAAAUGCAAUCUACAUGACACUCUGUUUUUGUGAAAUCAUUUUUU